UUAAGAAGCCAAAUAAGAUAUCAUUUACAUCAAAAAUGAAAAAAUAAGGGGGCAUCUACUUUCUAUAAUAACGACCUGGGAAACUCAGACCAUCCUUCCUUCUGAGGACGCUGAAAAAAACUGAAUCCAAGAACUAACAACAUAUUAAGGAACUGCCAGGUGGUGACCCAGCAUGCUAAGAACACAGCAAGGAAUUCGAAGUUGUUUUAACAUUAGAAAAUCAACUGAUGUGAUUCAGCACAUUUACUGAAUAUUAUGAUGACCUGGGCAGAGUCAGAAAAGACAACUGACAAAAUUCAGAUCCUGUUGAGAUAAAUAUUAGCAAACAACCUAGAAAAUCAAGCAUUAUAUUUAAUGGUGAAACAUUAAACAUUUCCUUCUGAGACUUGGAAUGGACAAGGAUGACAUCAUUACUUCUAUUCAACGUUGUACUGAAGGCCCCAGACACUACAGUAAGACAAAAACAGAAUGGAAGAUAAAAGGAUUGGAAAGAAAGAAACCAAACUGUCAUAACUCACAGAUCAGGUAGUGGCUAUAUGCAUACUGGCUUUGUAAUCGUUGCUUAAGCCGUAUUUGUGCUGUGCAUUUUUUAUUAACUCCUAUGCAUCGCCAGGACCCUGAAGGUGUCAUACUCUUCCUGACAGGACCUACCAGCUUGACGGAGAGCUCUAUCCCCAUUUCCUAAAGAAGAAACCUGAUCCUUGGAAAUGUUCAGUGGCUGCCCCAAGAUGUCGGCACAACCUCUUGUGCUCUUGCCUCCUGCCACAAGAACAUAUGUCCCAGAAAAGGGCCACUCCAUCAGCCUAGGUCCAGAAAUGAGAGGACACAUGGACUGAACUUGAAGAUGGCCCACAGCAGACCUGCAGUCAACUCUCAGCCUUUAUGUAAUGCGGGAAAGAAGGAAAUGUGAAUAUUAUAGACUACUAAAAUUCUAAAGUUGUAACAUAGCAAAAUGAUCGAUACAAUUAGCAGUGGCAAUCAGUCUAGCAUAUUGUCAUGCUAUAUGCAUGCUAUAAAACUAUUGAACAAAAAUAUCACUAUCCUAUCAUGGACACAUUGGACUUUUCUUUUCUCCUUAUGACUGCAUCACGUGUGAUGAUCAGAAAUGGAGUGAAGACAGAAAAAUAAGAAAAUUCAAGAAUGUGCUACAGAGUGAUCCUCUCCCUCUUAGAGCACCCACAGAAACCACUCAUGGCUUCUCUGUCUGCAUCCUCUCCACACAAACAUAUUCUUUAAGGUACCAGCCCCAUAUCACAUACCUGUAUGUCAGCCCAUAAUAGGCCUUACCUUAGAAGCCAAAGAUCCAUAACUACACAGUAUUCAUGUUGUAUAAUGUGGAGCAGCACCAAA
This 1350-nucleotide long non-coding RNA is filed under the name Homo sapiens (human). RNAcentral describes it as "HSALNT0347313". The record is from RNAcentral. Lineage: Eukaryota; Metazoa; Chordata; Mammalia; Primates; Hominidae.